GAUGAAGGAACGUAGCGAAAUGCGAUAAGUAAUGUGAAUUGCAGAUUUCAGUGAAUCAUCGAAUCUUUGAACGCACCUUGCGCCUUGUGGUAUUCCACAAGGCAUGCCCGUUUGAGUAUCAUUAAAUCAUCAACUUCAAAAACUUUGUGUUGUUUGAAGCUUGGUCUUGAGGGUUUUUGCAGGUCGCAUAUAUAUAUAUGCUUGGUCUGCUCCCUUUAAAUGCAUUAGCGAGACUUCCCUGUGUUUGAACAACGGUCUCUGGCGUGAUAAUUAUCUACGUCAAUGUCACCAGUUCUCGUUGGGCUUGCUUUCUAACCGUCCCUUGGGACAAACUGGAAUUUUUUUAGAGUGCAUAUAUGCGCCCUUUCUUUUUUCCAAAAAGCAUUUUUGAUCUCAAAUCGGGUAGGACUACCCGCUGAACUUAAGCAUAUCAAUAAGCGGAGGA
Molecule: unclassified non-coding RNA, 445 nt
Filed under: soil metagenome
Description: partial contains 5.8S ribosomal RNA, internal transcribed spacer 2, and large subunit ribosomal RNA
Rfam family: 5.8S ribosomal RNA (bases 1-121)
Source: RNAcentral